GUUUUUUAAGGCAUGGAUUUUUAUAAAGCCUCUUAUGAUGGUUUAGUCAACGAGAAUCUUCAUAAGAGGUUUUGUAAAAUCAUCUAUGUAAUUUUUUUUUAUAAUUUAUAAAAAAAUGUUUUGCAAAAAAACUGUUUUAGAUAAUUUUUUAUAAUAACUAGACUCCACCGCAAACAAUAUUCUAAAUCCAGACAAUUUUUAUAGGUUGUAACUGGUAUUCAAGUUUUGGAAUACUGUGAAUGAAAGGAAUUUGAUAAAAUAGAAUGCCAACUAAUAGAAUGAUGGAAGUUAUGGAAUAAGAUUAAUGGAAUGAAAUAAUUGAUAACACAAAUGGUAACCUUUCAGAGGAAUUGAAUGGAAUGAAAGUUACUUUUAAUUUAAAUUAUUAAGAAUAUGUUAAACUAUACCAAUAAAACGUGUAUGAUACUAAAAUAGAUUUCAUGUUGCAUGAUUUGUUUCUUCCUGAUCUAUUCAUCAUAUUUCUGUUGGAAAAAAAUUUGGAAAAAUUUAAAGAUUCAUGAUCUCCAAGAAGAAAGAACAGAAAAAUAAAUUUGGAGAAGUUCUCUCAUGUAAGCUUUGAAUAAUUAAUUAGAGUGUUUAAAUAAGGAGAAGGUGUUUCUAUCAUUUUUUCAAUAAGUAACAAUCGUAUACCUGAAUUAAAACUUCAAGAAUCUUUGCAAAUCAAUUAUUUGAUUCCAGUAAAUCAGUUACAUAAUAUCUAAACUUAAUUAAAAAUAUUUUUUUAUUAAUUUCAUUUCAUUCCAUCUCAUUCAUGUUGCUUUUUUAUUCUAAAUGAAUUAUAACUACAUUUCUUUUGAUUCCAUUGAUUCCACAUGAAUUAUUGGAAUGAAAUUUAUUUUGCAUUCCAUGUAAAUGGUAAAUUUUUUUUUUGGAAUCUAAAAGAAUAGGCCAUUCCAAAUAAUUUAAUUCCAAAAAAUACAAAUCCAGUUACACCCUUAGAAAUUUUUGGGAGAGUUAUAGUACCAUACCAUAAUAAUUAAAUCUGUGAUCUCUGGCAAUCGUCCGAAGAAAGAGAUCAAUGGGAUACAAACCCCUCAUAAUUUAUAAUAUUAUAAGAGGUAAGGAAAAAAUGCAGUUUUAUUGAAAGAAAGAAGACCACAAAUGUAAAUUGGAUACAUGCACGGCUCUGGUUGUCCUUCGUUUGUGGCUUUCUAUCACUCGCUCUUUUAUUUAUGGUAAUCUAUUUUUUUGGUCCAUGACUCCACGGCCGAUUGCUAAUUAUUACAACAUUUCGUACCAUUUAAUGAGUACUGUUAUUUUCACAAGUUAUUGAAUGUCUUGCAUAUUUUAUUAUCAUUUGUGCCAGUACAAAAAGUAAUGUUUUCUAUUAAGUUACUCUAUCCACGACAACAAGAGAACUCGUUAUCCUAGGGUUUAAUUUCAUGAGUUGCAAACCUUUCGUAUUACUUGACAACUAGGUUUUAGUUUAUAUCCGUACGUGAGAGGUCUACGAAAACGCAAUGCUAAAGCUCUAAUCACUUCGAAUAUUAAUCAAACGUCUGGGUAAAAGUUAGUUAUCGAUGCCAAUUUUUUUAAAGAAGAUCUUAAAAAUAUAUCCAGUUAUACCAGAACAUGUUUUAGGUUUAACUGUUUGGUAAAAAAAUAUAGCCACUAUAGUUUCUUUAUAUAAAUUUAAAAGGCAAAUUGUCAGAUUACCCGUCGAGUAGCAUUAGCUACAAAUGUGGUCGACAAGCCUCCUAUUAAGUGAAUUUUUCUUUUAUAAAGCCACCCACUACGUUUUUUUAAAGUUUUCUGAAAGUUUACCUUAAGUUUUCUUUUUCUCUUUCUCUAAUAUACAUACCUCCACAUAUUUAGAGAUACUCGACCAUGGAUGGCCGAGAAACUAAGAACACCUCGAAAUAAUGUUUCAAGCUGCUUUUAUAUCCCCCAAGAAAAUGGAGAGAAAAGGAAGAAACGCUUUCGAUGAUUAUCAAUUUAUAACGACUGAUAACUUGAUAUAUUCCUACUUGACAAAAAAACCGUGAUAUAUUUCGUUGCAAAUGCCUUGUUUUUUAGUUGUGUUAUGUGACCAGUACUGGUAUCUUUGUUUCACUUAUACCUAUUAUCAACAACAACGAUAUGCAUGUGAUUCAGUUAGAGAUCUUUUUUUAAUUGUCAUGUAUGAUAGUGAUUGUCUAGUUUGUUGUUUAAAGUUUUACUUUUCAUAAAAGCUAUUUAAUAGUAUUUUUUAUUACAAAUGAUUAUCUUGUAUUGACAUAUAAUGAAGUCGGUGUCGACGAACUUUACUAAACUACUUCUGGUCAGCUUACGACAUUCAAUUUGUUUUAGUUUCAAAUAAAAGAGUUAAGAAGUUGAUAUAUUAUUUUUUAAAUAAAUUUUUAAUUUUAUCUUAUAAGAAUAUAUAUACUUUUACACAUAUAAAAUAUUAAUCUUUGUUUUUGAGGUGAAAAUAGAGAUAAGUUAUAUAAAAUUUUACAUUAAAAUAUUUUGGAACAAAAUCUAAAAAAGAGUUGGCUAAAGGAAUGUCAAAUAUAGAAAACAAGAACCUGAAACAAUUAAUGGAAAAUGUGAAACCAUAUUAGAAUCAUUGGCUAAAACGAUCGGCCUCUAUCAAAAUAAUAUUUUAUUCAAUUGGCAUAUGUGGAAGGCACAUCUAAAUACUCUAUGCGUAGCUAGGUCCGUCCAUGGCCGAGUACAGUUGGACACAGAGAUAAAUACAAUAUGACAUUUGACGCGAGGCGUUUGGCGGAGUGUCAAGUUUUACAAACAGAUGAUGUAUCACUCUUAAACGAACCGACGACAUAGACUAAUCGUUACUCGACUUUCUUAGAUAUAUUGAUUCGUACUGCAUAAAGAUAUUACGGAUAUCUUGACAGCACAACUUAUUUUGUUUUCUAAACUAUUUUGGAAUUUAAGAAUUCUCCGAGAGAUGUUACACCCUUUUUUCCACUCUAUGUUAAUCGGUAAUGUUUUUUUUUUUUGAAACUAUUAGUAAUAGGUAAUGUUGUAGUUGGAAAUGUGACAAUAGAGAAAUUGUGAGUGGCAGUUUCUAACUGUAAUUGGCCACGGAACUUGGACAUAGACUAAUCGUAAGGGGUGAGUACUUUCUGAUACACAUAAUAAAUGCAACGAUUUUAUUUGACGAAAUCUAAGAAAAAAACAUUCCAAAACAUGAUCUCUUCUCUCUUCUGUGGGUUUCUUUUGCCAAGAUGACACCCAAUUAUAAUUUUCCAUUUACAUUCACAUAAUUCAUUAUUUUACCAAAAACUAAAAAUAUAUUCAAAUUAUUUAUCUGUAUGUUUUUCUUCAUAUUUUCCUCGUAUUUCUUAUUUAUAUGACAUAAACGUAUAAUCGUUAUAAAAUAACUAAAGCAUAAUAAUUGAUGGAUUGUUUAUUUAUUAAAUUUUAACGAUAUUUUGGAAUUUAUAUAUAAAACCAAAUCGAAUAUUUUACAAUAAUUGUAUAUUAUUAUUUUAAUGAAACAUAUUAUUCUGGCAUCUUGAAAACCUAUGGUUAGUACACUUCUGAUGUCGGCGAGACAUACGUGGCGAGAAUUGUGGAUCGAGAUUGAGCUGGCAGUUUGGUCGGACUGAACAAUAUCUAUUUUGGGUAAAGGUUCAGUGGCUUACAAAUUAUUAUUGAAUCAGAACUCUGAAAUAUUUAACUUGUCCACAUCAGUUUUUGUUGAAAUUUAUUUCGUACAAUUUCCCUUUUGUAUGUUUCUCAUGAUUAAGAUGCAAGUUUUGGAAAAUUUCCGCGACAACGAUUUAAUGUUUUUGUUUUGGGAUUAAACAUUGAAGGAUGGUCUCUUGCUUUACCAAAGCUGUGAUAAGUUUAGUGUCGACUGUAUAGCGAAUAAGUGAGAUUCGUUUCUGGAUUUAGACGUUUUGCAUUUGUAAACUGUUUAUUAAUUUAUUAUUGUAUGGGUAAUUUCACUUGACAAUUUAUUGUUACAUCCUAAAUAGUAUUUUUGGGGAUAAAUACAGCCUAAAGAUUGCUAAUCAUUUAUAAGACAUGAUUUUAAAACUGCAGUCUAAACACUUUGCAGAUACAACGAAUAUAAAGACAAAAAAGUCCAACGGGUAACUGCAGAAGAUAGUAGAAUAACUGACAUUGAUGGAAUACGACUUUGGUAAUAAAUUGCAACUUUUUGACGGAUCAACAUAAUAUAUGUAAAUAAUUGAAAAUUUGUAAGAGAACUUUCAUUUUUUUUGGCUAAAGACAUGAAAUUGUCACAGAAAUCUUAAGUAUUAUGAAAUACCAAAAUUUUUUUUGACGGUAAUUAGCUACAUUGCUUUCAAAUAGAAAACAAACUUUGAAAAUCAUAAACUUUUUUAUAUUUAAAUACUUAAAUUUGGUCAAAUACCAUAAAUACAAAUUUAUCAUGCAUACUUCAGCCAUUGUUCGUUUUAUAAAACCUAAAUACAAAGAAGAUGGUUUUAAAGUUGAGGUUAAGAUUUUCUAUAGUUUGUUUGACCUUACGAUCUUCCUUAUGAACUAUUCUUUAGUUUACUUUGAAACAAUCAUAUAAACAGGCUUUGCUAAUAAUUUACAUAUAAAAUUUCAAUUGCAUAGAAUACGACUUUGAUAAUAAUUUGCGAUAUUUUUGACGGAUCAACAUAAUAUAUAGAUAUAAAAAUUGAAUUUUUUACAUGCGAAUUAACUUUCAUUUUUAAAUUGUCACAUAAAUUGUCACAUAUAGAAAUCCCCAAAAGAACAAUUGACAGUAAUUUACUAUUUUGAUUUCAAAUACCCCAAAAACUUCGAACAUCAUGAAAUUUGUUACAUUUAAAUAUUACUUAAAUUUGCUCAAAUACCAUAACUACAAAAUAACCAUGCAUAUAUAUGUUUACCAAAAAAACAUGCACACACACACACACACAUAUAUAUAUAUAUAUUUUUUGCAACAGAAAAAUAACAAUCCAUAUUUCAACCAUUGUUCUUUUUAUAAAACCUAAAUACAAAUUAAGAAGAUUGUUUUUUAAAUAUAAUAUUAUUUAAUCAACCUGAGAACGGGAAAUCUGAAACGAUUACAAAAAAGAUUGUUUUAAAGUCGUGGUAAAGACUUUCUAUAAUUAAUGUAGAAAAAAAGACUUUCUAUAAUUUGUUUGACGAUACGAUCUUCCUUAACUAUUCUUUAGUUAACUUUGAAAGUAUCAUCUACAACAAGCUUUGCUAAAUUCAACUGCAACACAGUUCUUCUUUAUAUAAAAACACACACAAUCAAUAUUAUAUACAAAGUAACUUAUAUGAAAGUCGUCUUUGUAAAAUUCAAACCACUAAACAGAUUUUUGUAGAAAGAUGAUGAUGAUGGUUAUGGUAUGAUGAUGAUGAUGGUGGUGGUAUGAUGUUUAAUGUUAUGAUUUUUUUUUCUGAAUUGAAGAUGUUGAUAAUAUAAUUAUUAUAGAUUAUGACUAAUAGUUAAUGUCUUUUCGUUUUGAUGUUGCUACAACCUAAUCAAAUGUUGGUUUGCAGGUUUUAAAAUUAUAAGAAUCCGCAAGUCGCCAUUUUUAUAAAAAAUCGUUCAAUUUUACGAAUAGUAAUCAGCAAUUACCCUAUUGGUCGACGGACAUGCAAACGUGCAUCACCGUUAUGUUACGAUGAUGGUGGUGAUAUGAUAAGAAUGAUGAUGAUUGUGGAAAAUGAUGAUAAUGAUAUGAAGGUAAUGAUGGUGACAUGUAAUGAUAAAUAUUAUGUUUGUUCCUUUAUCCUAAGAUUUUAAACUAGAAUUGUCCACUAGUGUAAGAAACGUGUGAUUUGGUGUAAGAAAAUACGUUUUUUCUAAUUUAAAUAAAAAAGUUAAAAAUACUUUCUCUCUCCUUUAUCCUCUCCAAGGUUAGAACUACAUAUCAAUAUCGUUCCGGUGUCUGGCAGUGUGUGAACGUGCAUCCGGCGAUACAGACUUUUUCUCUUUUUCUUUUGUUUAGUCUCGAUUGCUCCUCCAUCUGUCUCACUCCUCCAUUUAAUAUGGCAUUAGAUCUGCGUUAGGGUUUUGUCGUCGGUCUGGUUAUUGCUUAGUCAGAUGGCAUUUCAGUUUUCUGUGGUUUCACGACGAAAGUGUGAUAGUGGUUGUAGUCGACGUUUAUGGCUUCAAGAGUAGAUAGUCUUUUUUCCUAGAUCUACUUUGGAUUUCGUCGCUUUUGGUGGAGGGAAGCUUGUGCGACUUUCAUUCCGGCGUCUGGCGUUCUCGCCGUCGUUUCUGGUCGUGGUUCAUUGUUCGGCGAAGGUGAAUGGUCUCAUGUCUCUUUGUAGUGGUGUCAAGGACCUUGUCUUCGUCACUUUGGUAAAUAUAAGUCAAGGACCAACACAUAAUUUUGAUAAAUAUUAUGAAAAUACAUGUACAUUUGAUUUAAUUAUAAUAAAAAAUAAUUAUACUUCAUUUUAAAUUUUAAAGAAUAUAUGUAAUUCAAUAUACUCACAAUAUGAAUGAUUUGACUAAUUCAACUUAUAUUUAAAAUCAAAGAUUUAACUACGAUAAGAAUAUAUAAUUUUAUAAGAAUAGUAAUUUAUUUUAUAAAUAUAAAUCAUAUGACAACUCAAAGCAUAUUAAAAAUAAAAAUAGAAUAUUAACCAACUGUUACAAUUUAGUUCUUUCGUAAAAUUUAUAUAUAUGCAUGAGACUUCAGAAUAUUAUCGUUUCGUUAUAUUAAUUUAUGUAAUUUGAAAUCAGACACUUUAGUUUAUUUAUUUUUAUUUCAUUCUAAGCACAAUAUAUCUUAAGUUAUACAUAAUUUUCAUAAAAUAUAUUCACAUAUCUAAGAUAACAACCACCUAAAUGCAAAUAAGAAAUUAACCAAAAUUAUUAAUAUAUGGAAUAAAAAUAUUACAGUUGAAUUCAUAGAUGCAAUCCAAUUUACCCAAAUGAUAACUAAAUCGACUGAAAAAAAAAACAAAAUCGAUUAGAUAUAAUAUAUAUAAAAUCAUAUGUAUAAUUAAAGUAAUAUAAUAUUAUUAAUAUAAAUGAUACAUAUAAAUUAUAAAUUAAUUUGAAAUUAAAAGUAAUUAACAAUCAAUUAUUAUAAUAUAUUUACUUUAAAAAUAUUUAUAUCCAUGCAUAAUCACUGGAAAAUCACCUAGUAGAGAACGAAAAAGUAUGUCAUAUUGUAAUUUUUUCAAGAUUCUUACUAACGAAUUGAACCGGUUGAACCGUCCGGUUUUGUUGUUGCCAUCUCCGUAAUAGUGCGGUGAGAAAUGCAGAGCACGCCGUUGGGGAAUGGGGACGACGGAGCUAUCCCCAUCAGCUUUGAUCAAGCAAAACCGUCAUGGCUUCUCUCGCCGACGGUUUCUGUUUCUCAAACUCCGUCUAGCAAAUCAGCUUGAGUUGCAAGUCUAUCAGCUUCUGAGCAGUCUCCACAAAAAGAGCUGAGCAGUCUCCACAAAACAUUACCUUACACCAACAAAAUUGAAACUGUAUCUGUAGCAUCAAUUGAAGCUGAUCCCUGAAGCAGGAUUUUAUUACAGGAGUCUUUUAAAGCCCCAGACUAUGCCUGCAGAGUGCUGAUUAUCUACCCAAGAUGCAUCAGUAUAGCAAACAAAACUGUCUUUUAUGUCUGGAGAGUAGAGUCAUGUAAGUUCUGAGGACAGACAGAAUUUGACUGAUAGAUGGAAGGGAGAGUCUCAUUCGAAGAGAUCGCUUCUAGUCGUAAUUGAUGAUCCAUGAAAGCUCCCAUCCUUUAACAUACGACAUGAUUUGAUUCGUCAGUAGACGAUAAAGUUGUUCUUUUCUUUUAGGUUUGUACUUGAUCUUUUCCCAGUGGUUUCACCUGAAAUUGUUGUCCGGGAAGAUAGAGUGGAGGACUGGUGGGAAGUGGCAGAAACACAUUGCACCUCCUUCUUCCCUGGACAUUCGUUCCCUCUUGAUCUUGUCCUCAGAGUUGAUAGGUUGAUGGCGAUGAUAAUGGGUUUCUACGUUCCACCAGGGUGCCUACCAGAGGGAUAUGUUUAGUCGCUGUGACAGUUAGUAAAUUGGCCACAACCAAAGGCAUCUCCAGAUACGAGAGUACUGAUCUGGAAAGCAGAGGGUUAAGCCACGAACUGGGGAUGUCGAGCUAUACGGAGGCCACGAAACUUUAUAAAGAUCAAAGUUACAGAUGCAUCAAGAUCCCUGAAGGAGCAAAUUGGCCACAACCAAAGACAUCUCCAGACACCAGGUUUAACUUCAUGAUGAAGCUCUUGAACAGCAAUGGUACACAAGCCCUUGAACAGUUCCUUUAAUUCCAAGGCAAAAGGGAAUCGAAUUCUGUUUGCUGAUGAAAAUAGGUAUUGAUUAUGUAAAUAUAUAUGUUAGUGGUGCUUGUGGUCUACGUUUGGUCGUCUUGUGUAAAUGCUACAUGUCUGCUUUUUUCGUAUACAAAUAAAAAGUUUAUACUA
Molecule: long non-coding RNA, 8352 nt
Organism: Brassica rapa (field mustard)
Lineage: Eukaryota; Viridiplantae; Streptophyta; Magnoliopsida; Brassicales; Brassicaceae
Source: RefSeq, a predicted model, not a curated record